GCUUCCGUAUUUCAAUGGAUAGAAUGCUGGCCUCCGAAGCCGGUGAUCUGGGUUCGACUCCCAGCGGGAGCACCA
Molecule: transfer RNA, 75 nt
Filed under: Puniceicoccales bacterium
Lineage: Bacteria; Pseudomonadati; Verrucomicrobiota; Opitutia; Puniceicoccales
Description: tRNA-Arg
Rfam family: tRNA
About the family: Transfer RNA (tRNA) molecules are approximately 80 nucleotides in length. Their secondary structure includes four short double-helical elements and three loops (D, anti-codon, and T loops).
Source: RNAcentral